This 465-nucleotide ribosomal RNA is filed under the name Vreelandella stevensii. RNAcentral describes it as "partial 16S ribosomal RNA". It matches the Rfam family "Bacterial small subunit ribosomal RNA", at positions 338 to 795 of the family's 1533-position model. The record is from RNAcentral. Lineage: Bacteria; Pseudomonadati; Pseudomonadota; Gammaproteobacteria; Oceanospirillales; Halomonadaceae.
CCUACGGGAGGCUGCAGUGGGGAAUAUUGGACAAUGGGCGAAAGCCUGAUCCAGCCAUGCCGCGUGUGUGAAGAAGGCCUUCGGGUUGUAAAGCACUUUCAGUGGGGAAGAAAGCCUUGGGGCUAAUACCCUCGAGGAAGGACAUCACCCACAGAAGAAGCACCGGCUAACUCCGUGCCAGCAGCCGCGGUAAUACGGAGGGUGCGAGCGUUAAUCGGAAUUACUGGGCGUAAAGCGCGCGUAGGCGGUCUGUUAAGCCGGUUGUGAAAGCCCCGGGCUCAACCUGGGAACGGCAUCCGGAACUGUCAGGCUAGAGUGCAGGAGAGGAAGGUAGAAUUCCCGGUGUAGCGGUGACAUGCGUAGAGAUCGGGAGGAAUACCAGUGGCGAAGGCGGCCUUCUGGACUGACACUGACGCUGAGGUGCGAAAGCGUGGGUAGCAAACAGGAUUAGAUACCCUUGUAGUC